GUGGGGAAUCUUCCGCAAUGGACGAAAGUCUGACGGAGCAACGCCGCGUGAGUGAAGAAGGUUUUCGGAUCGUAAAGCUCUUUCGUUAGGGACGAACGUGCUCUUUGUGAAUAAUGAGGAGUAAUAACGGUACCUAAAUAAGAAGCCACGGCUAACUACGUGCCAGCAGCCGCGGUAAUACGUCGGUGGCAAGCGUUGUCCGGAAUUAUUGGGCGUAAAGCGCGCGCAGGCGGGAUAUCAAGUCUGUCUUAAAAGUGCGAGGCUCAACCUCGUGACGGGACAGAAACUGGUAUUCUUGAGUGUCGGAGAGGAAAGGGGAAUUCCAAGUGUAGCGGUGAAAUGCGUAGAGAUUUGGAAGAACACCAGUGGCGAAGGCGACUUUCUGGACGAUGUCUGACGCUGAGGCGCGAAAGCUAGGGGAGCGAACGGGAUUAGAUACCCGGGUAGUCC
Molecule: ribosomal RNA, 450 nt
Filed under: uncultured bacterium
Lineage: Bacteria
Description: partial 16S ribosomal RNA
Rfam family: Bacterial small subunit ribosomal RNA
Source: RNAcentral